AGCUAUCUAUAAAAAGAGUGCCCUCCACUUCCUAUUUCUUGCACUUGAUUUAUUUUUUCUCGAUAGUAGCUAUCAUUUACUUUAUUAUACUUAUGUAAAUUAAUAUGUUUAUUAUAUAUUGCUUACUUACCUAAUGCCCAUAUUCCUCCCAAUAGAAUGCAUACUACACAAAGGCAGGGGUUUUGUUUUACCUAUUUCAUUUACAGUUCUAUCCCUGCCACCUAAGGGUGGCUCCCACUCAUGGAAGGUUCUCAAUGUAUAAAUGGCGAACUGUGAACACAUGAAUAUAUAAAUUGGUGACGACUCUCACGCAGAUUUCCUGGUGGGGAUGCCCAGCGGAGAGCUGGUGCAGCAUAUGAACUGGCUGAAGCACACAGUUCCACCGAAGUAGUGGGUCCUCUUAAAGGGAAUGGAAUGGGAUUGAAAUCUUCCCCAUGUGUAAGAGUCUAUCAGUCAAUUAUGAAGUCCCUCCAGGAACCUAUGUAUCUCUCAGGACACAUCAACUAAGUAAUAAAACACCAAUGUGUGACCAAUGUGUAAUAUGAGAAAAUGCUAAUAUCAAGAUUUAUUCAAUGUGUGUUUAUAUUCUGACUUUUCAUUAUUUCUUUAUCUCACCAAGCAUUUGUUUGUUCAGCUCUAUAGUCCAUUUAUAUGAAUGGUUUGCAUUUUUAUUUCAUAUGAUUUAAAAAAAUUAUUGGUAAUAAAUUAUAAGCAUCUACUACUAGUCUUUUUUCCCCCCAGUGAAACAUAAUUUUAACCUGGAGGAAUACAGCCUCUCUCAGUGCACGUUGGAAAAGGUAUUGGUAGAGCUUUCUAAGGAGCAGACGGUGGGAAAUUUUGACGAAGAGGUUGAUACAACCAUGAGAUGGAAACUCCUCUCUCAUUCAGACGACCCAUGAAACCCAGUCAUUCCUUGCUGAUGUCCUAUAAGCUUAUGUUAUAUGUAAUAAUUUGCAUUUUAUAUAAUUUUUAAAAAUUGUCAGCAUCAAUAUUGGGUACAUUUUGUAUAUUUAGUUAAUAAAUGAAUACAUUGUAAAAUUAUUCUUCCCCUCAAAUUUAGGGACAAUAGAAAGUGUUAAUGAAGUUAUCUGAAGAACCAGGCACUGGGUUUUGAAUAAAUAAAACCACAAACUUGGAA
Long non-coding RNA from Myotis brandtii (Brandt's bat), 1138 nucleotides. RefSeq lists it as uncharacterized. The transcript is spliced from 2 exons. NCBI's taxonomy places the organism in Eukaryota, Metazoa, Chordata, Mammalia, Chiroptera, Vespertilionidae. The record is from RefSeq and is a predicted model, not a curated record.